This is a long non-coding RNA of Aedes aegypti (yellow fever mosquito), 277 nucleotides long. RefSeq lists it as uncharacterized. The transcript is spliced from 2 exons. The record is from RefSeq and is a predicted model, not a curated record. NCBI's taxonomy places the organism in Eukaryota, Metazoa, Arthropoda, Insecta, Diptera, Culicidae.
CCUGUUUGUUGUCAUAAAAAAAUAUGUUUGUAAACAUUAACUCGCAUUCCCUGUCGUCUAUUAUUGUGCAUUUCUUGUCGGAAAGUGGAUACAAAGUUUCAAGAAGGACCCAAUUGCAUCCACCAGCUGAAAACGACGCACUCCCACUACACAGCUCUCCAAUCUUCAUGGAUUAAAUGGGCCAACUACAUUCUAUCGCAACCUGGCGAUCAACGAGCUGCUCAAAUUACUGAAGCUCCGCCUGAUGAGUAUUUACAUUUAUUCCGUGCCGCUCCGA